GCCAUGCUUGAUCCCAGGACCCUGACCUGAGAGGAAGGCAGAUGCUUAACUCACUGAGCCACCCAGGUGUCCCACUUUUAAUUUUAAAAUACAUUUAUUUGAAAACAACGAAAACAUUCCACUGAGUACGUUUAACCUGAAUACCACGUCUAACCUGAAUACCAAGAGGAUCUCAGGAUGUCUCAUGUAUGUGCAAAAAUUUUGUUAUAAAAUAGUCUUUAUACACACAUAUUUGCACAUAUGUGUUCGCACACUAAAAUGUUAAUAGCACUCUUCUCUUGGUAUAAUUAUACUUGAUUUUUGUCCCUUUUUAUGAGUUUUAUUAAUUCCAAAUCCCCUACAUGAAUGUGUAUUAGUCUCCUAAUACGAAAAAUAAAAAUGCUUAGAAAUAAUAAAACUAUUUUCCCUACGGUCCAUUUUUUUGAAUCCCUGGUUUUUGCUGGAGGAACUGAGUUUUUUUGUGCCAUUAUGUUAGUAUCUGGUGCAGACCUUGAAUUUUGUGUCAAGAAGUCUGGAGACUAGCCCUCGCCCUCGGCUCAUCAGCCCUUCGGCUGCGGACGUGUUCCUUGGCCUCUCUGGGCCUCAGUGUUCUUCUCAACAAAAGAAGAGGUGCCCUGAGGUAACUCUCUGGUGAGUGUGGCUGUGAGUGGCUUACUUCCCCAAGUAAGACCUGGUCACUCUAAGGGGCUUGUGCAUCAAUCCCUAGGAAUACAUUUAAGCGAUAAACACUUUUGUAACCUAACCGGCAGUCUCGUAUAAGCGUAUUUGUGGCCUUGUGGGCGUUGCCAGGCCCGUACUUACCCCUCCAGGACAAUGGGUCUCACGCGGGAGCCUGCAUCAGAAUCACCUGGAGCCCUGUUAGAAUACAGCCUGCUGCGCCCCAGCCAGAGUUCCGGGUUCUGUGGGGCGGGGGUGGGGCCGGGAAACUGCCUUUCUAACAAGUUCCAGGUGCUGCUGGUGGUCGGAAGAAUCCUACCUCAAGAAAACACCCCGGUUCGGAGAAGGCAUUUCCAAUUUCUUGAAAACAGGAUUCCACCCGGUGCUGUAAGUAGGCGCGAAUGAGGAGACGGACGGGACGCCGGGGUCGGAGGGCGCGCCGGGGAAGAGCGAGUGCGUCGCUUCGGUGGGCUGGAGUCUGCGGCGCGGAGCGGGCGCGCUGUUUCUCUGGUCAAUUAGGACGGUGAGAGGACUUUUUCUGUGAGGCACGUUUAUUUUUAUUUAUUUAUUA
RNAcentral lists this long non-coding RNA (1228 nucleotides) under Ursus maritimus (polar bear). RNAcentral describes it as "lncRNA (ENSUMAG00000005559.1)". Lineage: Eukaryota; Metazoa; Chordata; Mammalia; Carnivora; Ursidae. The record is from RNAcentral.